GACGAACGCUGGCGGCGUGCUUAACACAUGCAAGUCGAACGGAAAGGCCCUGCUUGCCGGGUACUCGAGUGGCGAACGGGUGAGUAACACGUGGGUGAUCUGCCCUUCACUUCGGGAUAAGCCUGGGAAACUGGGUCUAAUACCGGAUAGGAGCCAUUUUUAGUGUGAUGGUUGGAAAGUUUUUUCGGUGUAGGAUGAGCUCGCGGCCUAUCAGCUUGUUGGUGGGGUAAUGGCCUACCAAGGCGGCGACGGGUAGCCGGCCUGAGAGGGUGGACGGCCACAUUGGGACUGAGAUACGGCCCAGACGCCGACGGGAGGCAGCAGGGGGGAAUAUUGCACAAUGGGCGCCAGCCUGAUGCAGCGACGCCGCGUGGGGGAGGACGGCCUUCGGGUUGUAAACUCCUUUCGCUAGGGACGAAGCUUUUUGUGACGGUACCUAGAGAAGAAGCACCGGCUAACUACGUG
This 465-nucleotide ribosomal RNA is filed under the name uncultured bacterium. Its description in RNAcentral is "partial 16S ribosomal RNA". It matches the Rfam family "Bacterial small subunit ribosomal RNA", at positions 28 to 507 of the family's 1533-position model. The record is from RNAcentral.